RNAcentral lists this ribosomal RNA (445 nucleotides) under uncultured bacterium. RNAcentral describes it as "partial 16S ribosomal RNA". It matches the Rfam family "Bacterial small subunit ribosomal RNA", at positions 354 to 796 of the family's 1533-position model. The record is from RNAcentral.
GUGAGGAAUAUUGGACAAUGGGCGCAAGCCUGAUCCAGCCAUGCCGCGUGCAGGAAGACGCAUCUAUGGUGUGUAAACUGCUUUUGUACGGGAAGAAACACUCCCUCGUGAGGGAGCUUGACGGUACCGUAAGAAUAAGGAUCGGCUAACUCCGUGCCAGCAGCCGCGGUAAUACGGAGGAUCCAAGCGUUAUCCGGAAUCAUUGGGUUUAAAGGGUCCGUAGGCGGUUUAAUAAGUCAGUGGUGAAAGCCAAUCGCUCAACGAUGGAACGGCCAUUGAUACUGUUAGACUUGAAUUACAAGGAAGUAACUAGAAUAUGUAGUGUAGCGGUGAAAUGCUUAGAUAUUACAUGGAAUACCAAUUGCGAAGGCAGGUUACUACUUGUGGAUUGACGCUGAUGGACGAAAGCGUGGGGAGCGAACAGGAUUAGAUACCCUGGUAGUCC